This is a non-coding RNA of Flavobacterium sp. ov086, 31 nucleotides long. The record is from Rfam. NCBI's taxonomy places the organism in Bacteria, Pseudomonadati, Bacteroidota, Flavobacteriia, Flavobacteriales, Flavobacteriaceae.
AAGGCGUAACCGAAAAGCCUAAGAGUAGGAA